CAGGGACUCGACUAAGGGGAUCCCAACUCCGAUGUUCAACUUAAUCAAGAAAGUGAGUGUGGUAGUAGACACAAGUGUACUAGGACAACAUGAAUUUUGGCACCGAGACUUUAGCACAAUUUCACACACACAUGAAUUCCACAUAACCUCGAUACCAUCCUAACACAUUCUAUUACUUUUUACCUUUUUUCUUGUAUUUAGGAUCGCUAUAUAACAAUGAGAUGGAUUUGAGGAUGAACUUUUUUGAAGAAGUGAGGAUGACAUGACCGUAGGGAGGCAUUCCGAUUACCCAG
Molecule: long non-coding RNA, 293 nt
Filed under: Carica papaya (papaya)
Lineage: Eukaryota; Viridiplantae; Streptophyta; Magnoliopsida; Brassicales; Caricaceae
Description: long non-coding RNA (CPAP_LNC011531)
Source: RNAcentral